Molecule: ribosomal RNA, 791 nt
Filed under: uncultured archaeon
Lineage: Archaea
Description: bacterial SSU rRNA
Rfam family: Archaeal small subunit ribosomal RNA
Source: RNAcentral
ACGGCUCAGUAACACGUCGGUAACCUGCCCUAUGGUCGAGCAUAACCUCGGGAAACUGAGGGUAAUUCUUGAUAGAUGAUAGCGCCUGGAAUGGCCUUUCAUUCAAACACGUGCCAUAGGAUGGGCCGGCGGCUGAUUAGGCUGUUGGUGGGGUAACGGCCCACCAAACCUGAGAUCAGUACGGGCCUUGAGAGAGGUAGCCCGGAGAGGGACACUGAGAUACGGGUCCCAGCCCCACGGGGUGCAGCAGGCGCGAAACCUUUACAAUGCACGAAAGUGUGAUAGGGGGAUACUCAGUGCUUACGACUAUGUUGUAGGCUUUUGUCGAUCGUAAAUAGAUCGGCGAAUAAGUGGUGGGAAAGACUGGUGCCAGCCGCCGCGGUAACCCCAGCGCCACGAGUGGUUAUCACGAUUAUUGGGCCUAAAGCGUUCGUAGCCGGUCUGGUGCAUCUCUUGUGAAAUUGUUUGGCUUAACCAAACAGCGUGCAGGAGACACGACCAGACUCGAGACCGGGAGGCGCAUGAAGUAUGCCGUGGGGACUGGUAAAAUGGGAUAAUCCACGGUAGACUACCGAUGGCGAAGGCAUCAUGCGAGAACGGAUCUGACGGUGAGGAACGAAAGCUAGGGGAGCGAACCGGAUUAGAUACCCGAGUAGUCCUAGCCGUAAACGCUGUGAGCUAGGUGCUGCGUAUCUCACGAAGAUGCGCGGUGUCGAAAUGAAGAUGCUAAGCUCACCGCCUGGGAAGUACGGUCGCAAGACUGAAACUUUAAGGAAUUGGCGGGGGAGCAC